RNAcentral lists this ribosomal RNA (810 nucleotides) under Herbaspirillum sp. RNAcentral describes it as "bacterial SSU rRNA". It matches the Rfam family "Bacterial small subunit ribosomal RNA", at positions 56 to 861 of the family's 1533-position model. Lineage: Bacteria; Pseudomonadati; Pseudomonadota; Betaproteobacteria; Burkholderiales; Oxalobacteraceae. The record is from RNAcentral.
UGCAGUCGAACGGCAGCACGGGAGCUUGCUCCUGGUGGCGAGUGGCGAACGGGUGAGUAAUAUAUCGGAACGUGCCCUAGAGUGGGGGAUAACUAGUCGAAAGAUUAGCUAAUACCGCAUACGAUCUACGGAUGAAAGUGGGGGAUCGCAAGACCUCAUGCUCAUGGAGCGGCCGAUAUCUGAUUAGCUAGUUGGUGGGGUAAAAGCUCACCAAGGCGACGAUCAGUAGCUGGUCUGAGAGGACGACCAGCCACACUGGAACUGAGACACGGUCCAGACUCCUACGGGAGGCAGCAGUGGGGAAUUUUGGACAAUGGGCGCAAGCCUGAUCCAGCAAUGCCGCGUGAGUGAAGAAGGCCUUCGGGUUGUAAAGCUCUUUUGUCAGGGAAGAAACGGUCUUGGUUAAUACCUGGGGCUAAUGACGGUACCUGAAGAAUAAGCACCGGCUAACUACGUGCCAGCAGCCGCGGUAAUACGUAGGGUGCAAGCGUUAAUCGGAAUUACUGGGCGUAAAGCGUGCGCAGGCGGUUAUACAAGACAGAUGUGAAAUCCCCGGGCUCAACCUGGGAAUUGCAUUUGUGACUGUAUGGCUAGAGUGUGUCAGAGGGGGGUAGAAUUCCACGUGUAGCAGUGAAAUGCGUAGAUAUGUGGAGGAAUACCGAUGGCGAAGGCAGCCCCCUGGGAUAACACUGACGCUCAUGCACGAAAGCGUGGGGAGCAAACAGGAUUAGAUACCCUGGUAGUCCACGCCCUAAACGAUGUCUACUAGUUGUCGGGUCUUAAUUGACUUGGUAACGCAGCUAACGCGUG